This 30-nucleotide non-coding RNA is filed under the name Rattus norvegicus (Norway rat). Lineage: Eukaryota; Metazoa; Chordata; Mammalia; Rodentia; Muridae. The record is from RNAcentral.
UUCUCAGCAAGCUGCUAUCUACUCUCUGGU